GGAUGUGAGGGUGAUCUGGCUGCAACAUCUAUCACCCCAUUAAUUGCCAGCGCUAAUCUGGCUGAUCUGGCUGGCGAGUAUCCCCUUCCUCCUUCACUGCUCCACAUGUGUCCCUCCUGAAGCUGUGUACUCUAAGAGGACGGCCUUCCCAGAAUAAAUAAAUAGGGCUUCUUGAUUCCAAUGACAGGGCUAGGUCAGAGGACUACGAGACAUGUAGUCAUGGGCUUUCUGUUUGGUGGGAUUCCAGAUAUACUACCCAUAUAUUAAUAUGACAACUUUCAUAUUGAAU
This 289-nucleotide small nuclear RNA is filed under the name Erinaceus europaeus (western European hedgehog). RNAcentral describes it as "7SK RNA". It matches the Rfam family "7SK RNA". From Rfam's summary of the family: 7SK was discovered as an abundant small nuclear RNA in the mid-70s but a possible function has only recently been suggested. Two independent studies have found that 7SK RNA binds the CDK9/cyclin T complex (known as elongation factor P-TEFb). Lineage: Eukaryota; Metazoa; Chordata; Mammalia; Eulipotyphla; Erinaceidae. The record is from Rfam by way of RNAcentral.